Molecule: non-coding RNA, 30 nt
Filed under: Mus musculus (house mouse)
Lineage: Eukaryota; Metazoa; Chordata; Mammalia; Rodentia; Muridae
Also listed under: 2 other names
Source: RNAcentral
GAAGUAAAAGUCGUAACAAGGUUUCCGUAG